RNAcentral lists this ribosomal RNA (501 nucleotides) under uncultured bacterium. RNAcentral describes it as "bacterial SSU rRNA". It matches the Rfam family "Bacterial small subunit ribosomal RNA", at positions 29 to 518 of the family's 1533-position model. The record is from RNAcentral.
AUGAACGCUAGCUACAGGCUUAACACAUGCAAGUCGAGGGGAAACGAUAUUGAAAGCUUGCUUCUUAGGCGUCGACCGGCGAAUGGGUGAGUAACGCGUAUCCAACCUGCCCCUGAGUAAGGGAUAGCCCAUCGAAAGAUGGAUUAAUACCUUAUGGUUUCCUUUGAAGGCAUCAGAUUAGGAAUAAAGAUUUAUCGCUGAGGGAUGGGGAUGCGUCUGAUUAGCUUGUUGGCGGGGUAACGGCCCACCAAGGCGACGAUCAGUAGGGGUUCUGAGAGGAAGGUCCCCCACAUUGGUACUGAGACACGGACCAAACUCCUACGGGAGGCAGCAGUGAGGAAUAUUGGUCAAUGGGCGCAAGCCUGAACCAGCCAAGUAGCCGUGCAGGAUGACUGCCCUAUGGGUUGUAAACUACUUUUAUACGGGGAUAAAGUCAGGGUCGUGACCCUGUUUGCAGGUACCGUAUGAAUAAGGACCGGCUAAUUCCGUGCCAGCCGCCGC